This 282-nucleotide ribosomal RNA is filed under the name Schumannella luteola. RNAcentral describes it as "partial 23S ribosomal RNA". It matches the Rfam family "Bacterial large subunit ribosomal RNA", at positions 1280 to 1551 of the family's 2925-position model. The record is from RNAcentral. Lineage: Bacteria; Bacillati; Actinomycetota; Actinomycetes; Micrococcales; Microbacteriaceae.
CCACACGAGUGAGAAUGCAGGCAUGAGUAGCGAAAGACGUGCGAGAAACACGUCCUCCGAAAGACCAAGGGUUCCAGGGUCAAGCUAAUCUGCCCUGGGUAAGUCGGGACCUAAGGCGAGGCCGACAGGCGUAGUCGAUGGACAACGGGUUGAUAUUCCCGUACCGGCGAAGAACCGCCCAAGCUAAUCCAGUGGUGCUAAGAGUCCUAAUCCGGCUGACGGAUCCCUUCGGGGUGAAGCUGCCGGCCUAACGCUCGACCCCAUGCUGGUGCGGCUAGCGUA